RNAcentral lists this ribosomal RNA (1357 nucleotides) under Lactiplantibacillus plantarum. Its description in RNAcentral is "bacterial SSU rRNA". It matches the Rfam family "Bacterial small subunit ribosomal RNA", at positions 70 to 1394 of the family's 1533-position model. The record is from RNAcentral. Lineage: Bacteria; Bacillati; Bacillota; Bacilli; Lactobacillales; Lactobacillaceae.
CUCUGGUAUUGAUUGGUGCUUGCAUCAUGAUUUACAUUUGAGUGAGUGGCGAACUGGUGAGUAACACGUGGGAAACCUGCCCAGAAGCGGGGGAUAACACCUGGAAACAGAUGCUAAUACCGCAUAACAACUUGGACCGCAUGGUCCGAGCUUGAAAGAUGGCUUCGGCUAUCACUUUUGGAUGGUCCCGCGGCGUAUUAGCUAGAUGGUGGGGUAACGGCUCACCAUGGCAAUGAUACGUAGCCGACCUGAGAGGGUAAUCGGCCACAUUGGGACUGAGACACGGCCCAAACUCCUACGGGAGGCAGCAGUAGGGAAUCUUCCACAAUGGACGAAAGUCUGAUGGAGCAACGCCGCGUGAGUGAAGAAGGGUUUCGGCUCGUAAAACUCUGUUGUUAAAGAAGAACAUAUCUGAGAGUAACUGUUCAGGUAUUGACGGUAUUUAACCAGAAAGCCACGGCUAACUACGUGCCAGCAGCCGCGGUAAUACGUAGGUGGCAAGCGUUGUCCGGAUUUAUUGGGCGUAAAGCGAGCGCAGGCGGUUUUUUAAGUCUGAUGUGAAAGCCUUCGGCUCAACCGAAGAAGUGCAUCGGAAACUGGGAAACUUGAGUGCAGAAGAGGACAGUGGAACUCCAUGUGUAGCGGUGAAAUGCGUAGAUAUAUGGAAGAACACCAGUGGCGAAGGCGGCUGUCUGGUCUGUAACUGACGCUGAGGCUCGAAAGUAUGGGUAGCAAACAGGAUUAGAUACCCUGGUAGUCCAUACCGUAAACGAUGAAUGCUAAGUGUUGGAGGGUUUCCGCCCUUCAGUGCUGCAGCUAACGCAUUAAGCAUUCCGCCUGGGGAGUACGGCCGCAAGGCUGAAACUCAAAGGAAUUGACGGGGGCCCGCACAAGCGGUGGAGCAUGUGGUUUAAUUCGAAGCUACGCGAAGAACCUUACCAGGUCUUGACAUACUAUGCAAAUCUAAGAGAUUAGACGUUCCCUUCGGGGACAUGGAUACAGGUGGUGCAUGGUUGUCGUCAGCUCGUGUCGUGAGAUGUUGGGUUAAGUCCCGCAACGAGCGCAACCCUUAUUAUCAGUUGCCAGCAUUAAGUUGGGCACUCUGGUGAGACUGCCGGUGACAAACCGGAGGAAGGUGGGGAUGACGUCAAAUCAUCAUGCCCCUUAUGACCUGGGCUACACACGUGCUACAAUGGAUGGUACAACGAGUUGCGAACUCGCGAGAGUAAGCUAAUCUCUUAAAGCCAUUCUCAGUUCGGAUUGUAGGCUGCAACUCGCCUACAUGAAGUCGGAAUCGCUAGUAAUCGCGGAUCAGCAUGCCGCGGUGAAUACGUUCCCGGGCCUUGUACACACCGCC